RNAcentral lists this ribosomal RNA (301 nucleotides) under uncultured bacterium. RNAcentral describes it as "partial 16S ribosomal RNA". It matches the Rfam family "Bacterial small subunit ribosomal RNA", at positions 509 to 807 of the family's 1533-position model. The record is from RNAcentral.
CAGUAGCCACGGUAAUACGUAGGUGGCAAGCGUUGUCCGGAAUUAUUGGGCGUAAAGCGCGCGCAGGUGGUUUAAUAAGUCUGAUGUGAAAGCCCACGGCUCAACCGUGGAGGGUCAUUGGAAACUGUUAAACUUGAGUGCAGGAGAGAAAAGUGGAAUUCCUAGUGUAGCGGUGAAAUGCGUAGAGAUUAGGAGGAACACCAGUGGCGAAGGCGGCUUUUUGGCCUGUAACUGACACUGAGGCGCGAAAGCGUGGGGAGCAAACAGGAUUAGAUACCCCAGUAGUCCCUGUCUCUUAUAC